GUUCAGUCCUCUAUAAAUACCAGAUACAGCUUCAGAGGCAAACGGAGGGGAAUGAGCCAGCUGGAUUUUCACUUUGGGGAGAAAAAACGUGAAACCAAGCAGCACCCAUCGGUUUUCCUCCCCAGCUCCAUGCCUGCCCCCUGGAGUGAGCCUCCUUGCUUUCAGCCACAGCUGAGUGGCCAGUCUCUUCAGCCUCCCCAGGCACCUAGGUGCGAGGAGGAGGGGCAACUCAAAUCCAAGUGGAAAACUGGCUGGUCUUCAACCGACUUGGAAGUUUAAGUGGCCUAGGCAGUCCUGAAAAGUUCCAGCAACUCCAGCUCAUUUAGCAGAGUGCAGCUUCUGGCUGGAAGAGCAGAGGAGGGCCAGGCUGUUCUAGGCUGCCUGUGGGGCAGGGCAGGGGGAGCCAGCACAGGAUGAUCAUGGGGCAAUAGCUCAGGCUUGGCCAAGCCCAGCUGCACAGGAGAACACGGUGACAUGCCAGAGGAGGGGCUACCGCCCGGUUUGCAGCCGGGCAGUGGGAGAGUCCAUGCCAGCCCCUAAGGAGAGCCAAACGCACAGGUGCUCCACCGCCCAGGCAUACCCCCAUCCAGAGCAGAGCCAAAGCUCACGAACACUCGCCUCCACUGUCUCCUCGCCAGGACGCAAAGCCAAUGGCUUUUAAAGUAAAUGUUCCCACUCCAUCUCUGUGGCUCCCGGAUGGAGUGUUUCCUGCGUAAUCAACCCUCCCUUCCAGAGGUUCUCUCCUUACCUGACUCUGGUCUCCUUCACGGGAUGCUGUUUUGCAUUCAUCCCAACUCUUAUACCUCUACCCCUAGAACUAAGAAGGCCCCCAGGCCCAGCGCUUGGCCUCUCUCCAGCUCUCUGCCCUCUGCCUGGACGAUUUCACCCGCCACCUCCUUCACAGCACCUACUGUCUCUGUGCAGAUAUUGGUGGUAGUCUCAGCUGCCAAGACCCACCAGGCCCAAACUGCCCCCAUGCCUCAGACAAGGCCUUUGAUGUCCAGCUGCAGCCUAAACCCAGUAUUUCCCAAAGCAAACUUCUCCCUUGGCUUUCCAUGAACUUUAGCACUGGCCCGUUGGUUUAAUCCCUGGCUCCCAACUCUCCCUCCAUCGGUGACCAGGGUGGUCACUACAGCUUCCCCUGCUCCUCUGCAUGUCCCGGUGCCCCAUCGUGGCAGGCCUGCCAGAGAGGAGAUACCUACUGCCAUAGCGAGGGGACUUAUGAGCCAAGACUAGAGUCAGGUACCCAUGUCAGAACACAAGCCUGUGCUUCAGGAAAGGUCUAUGGAAAAUCGAGUCAUGGUAAUGAGGAUGGUCUCCAGCAAUGACCCUCAAACUUGACUGUGCACUCAAGCCACCUGGAAACUUUGUUUAAAAUGUAAAUCACUACCACAGGGAUUCUGAGGCACUAGACCUGGGGUGGAGCCUAGGAAUCUGUUUUUCAACAAGCCAGCAGAUGGGUCUGAUGCCAGUGAAGUCAAGGCCCAUGCAUGGAGGACCAUUUGGUCCCAGAAUUAGAGAUUGGCUUUACCUGGAGUAGGACAGCUGUUCCUAAUCAAGGAAACCCUGACCCAGACCCAGCUUAUAGGGUGACUGUGCUCUGAAUUCCUGGAUUCCACAUGGCAGGCAGGCACAGAGGCCUGAGUUCAUGGACAGUCUUGGGGUGGGAUUAUGCCCCCCAACCCAGGAUCUAUCUAGCAGUUCCAUGGGCAGCACACUAUCACCUGACCAGGAGCGGGUAUUAGCAGCAAAGUCACCCACUCUGGAAACUCUGCCCUGUGCCCUGAAGGUCACAUCCCCCCACCCCUGCCACCAACAAUAUUGCAGCUCAGGCAUAACUACUGAGGGCAAACCAUCUUCUUCCCAUUUCACACUCUUGCUCUGUCACCACAGAGUAAAAGCAGAGGCUGGACAGGACAGAACAUCUGCUCUAAACUAGGCUAACUGCAAGCUGGGCAUGGACACAGGAGGUGGUGGCAGAGUGCUGUCCAGAGCUCCUCCAUCCACCUCGCUUCCUAACCCAGUCUUGGCCUUCUGAUUGUCAACAACAUGAAAUGCAGGUUCGAUCCCUGGAUCAGGAAGAUCCCCUGGAGGAGGCCGUGGCAACCUACUCUAGUAUUCUUGCCUGGAGAAUCCCAUGGAUAGAGGAGCCUGGAGGGCUACAGUCCAUGGGGUCGCAAAGAGUUGAACAUGACUGAAGCAACUUAGCGUGAACUCACAGAGUCAACAGCAUGGUCCAGGUGCCAAGGGAUGAUGCAGGAGAAUUUGGGGGAGUAGACUCUGUGAUCAGGGACUGAUUGGAGUAGAUGGUAAGAGAUGAAGUGGAGGUCUGUCCAGGAGGGCGCUAGUCCCACCCCCUAGUACUGUGCAUUGAGCCUGAGGAUGAGAGGGCAAUAGGGCCCCAGUUUUUCUGCCCAAGAGAAAAAGUCUUGCAAUACCGCCCAAGCUCCCAACUUCCUGCUGGAGAACUCCAUGUGGAUGACUUAGGAACCUAUGGUCUGCUUCCCUCUCCCCACUGACUCUCCUCCCUCCCAGCCUCUAGGGCUGCUGGGCCCACUCCCUUGAUUAAUACACCACUGAUAGUCUCAUGCCCAGGCCUCUGAAUCUCUGCAUUUCUAUUCCUCCCUCCCCUCGGCCCCAAUUACUCACAUGCCCUGUUCACUGUACCCACAGACUGCCUCCCACCUGUGCCAUCUUUAUGCAGCCCUGCCUUAGCUCAGGUCCCCCCGACAUUGGCCCAGGAGACUGCAGGCCUUUACCAGGGGAUCUGCAGAUCUCUGUUCUCUGAACUCUCUUGAUGCCCUUCAUUCCCAACCUGGCACUUCCAGAUUAUCUCUGGGUCUUCAGUGUUUAAAGGAACUACUAGAAACUGCACACUUAUCUCUACACAGCCUCAUGAACUAUUAAUAAAUAUAAUUUGUGAGUAGGGGGCCACCACAGCCUAUACCCCUGAGCCUUCAACACAGAUGACGGGUUUAUCUCUUGCUGGGGAGGCUGUGCGGCCCACAAGGCAAACUGGGCCUAAGCCAUGAAAGACGGACUACUGACUGC
Bos taurus (domestic cattle) is the source of this 3051-nucleotide long non-coding RNA. The record is from Ensembl. NCBI's taxonomy places the organism in Eukaryota, Metazoa, Chordata, Mammalia, Artiodactyla, Bovidae.